UCCUAUGGCGGGCCGGGUGGGGAGACCGCAAGGUCUGCCGGUUGCCGUGAGUACCGGUUCGCCAGCCCCGCCGUCAGGCCCGCCACCU
This 88-nucleotide non-coding RNA is filed under the name Ralstonia pickettii 12D. Lineage: Bacteria; Pseudomonadati; Pseudomonadota; Betaproteobacteria; Burkholderiales; Burkholderiaceae. The record is from RNAcentral.